This 85-nucleotide transfer RNA is filed under the name Clostridia bacterium. Its description in RNAcentral is "tRNA-Leu". It matches the Rfam family "tRNA". From Rfam's summary of the family: Transfer RNA (tRNA) molecules are approximately 80 nucleotides in length. Their secondary structure includes four short double-helical elements and three loops (D, anti-codon, and T loops). The record is from RNAcentral. Lineage: Bacteria; Bacillati; Bacillota; Clostridia.
GCGGGUAUGGCGGAACUGGCAGACGCGCAAGAUUUAGGAUCUUGUACCGUAAGGCGUGCAGGUUCGAUUCCUGUUACCCGCACCA